Molecule: microRNA precursor, 97 nt
Filed under: Procavia capensis (Cape rock hyrax)
Lineage: Eukaryota; Metazoa; Chordata; Mammalia; Hyracoidea; Procaviidae
Description: miRNA (ENSPCAG00000020465.1)
Source: RNAcentral
AUUACUUGAGAGGCUUGCUAAAUGCAGAUUCUAAGUUAGUAGGUCUGGCUGGAAUCUGAGAUUCUGCAUUUCUAAUAAGCUCUUAGGUGAUGCUGCU